Carassius gibelio (silver crucian carp) is the source of this 2218-nucleotide long non-coding RNA. RefSeq lists it as uncharacterized. NCBI's taxonomy places the organism in Eukaryota, Metazoa, Chordata, Actinopteri, Cypriniformes, Cyprinidae. The record is from RefSeq and is a predicted model, not a curated record. The transcript has 3 exons.
ACCCCCAUGCCUCUACGAUGUUCUGAUGCGGAGAUAUAGAUCUUGCAAAACGGUUGCUAGGGUACUGUGUUUGGUUGCUAGGGAGUGGCCUGGCAGCUGCCAAUGAUAAUACUCCAAUGGUUGCUUGCUAAUAUAAACCAACCCCCAUGCUUCUAUGUCUUUCAGAUGUUAAGAUAUCUCUCUAUACUUUGGGUUGCUAGGUAGCUCUUAAUGGUUGCUAGGGCGUGGCUAGGUUGUCUUGAAGGAGAUACAUGAUUGGCCGUUUGCUGCCCGAGUCAAACGAGCCCACCCUCAUGUUUCUAUGACACUUCUAUCCAAAGUUAUUCAUUUGAUCUUUUUCAAUGGAAGUCUAUGGAGCUUGUUGCUAUGGUGCUCUAUAUGGUUGCUAGGGCGUGGCUUGAUAGAUUCACAGUGAUCCUGAGAGACUGAUUGGUUGCCUGAUUCAAAUGAGCCCACCCCCUUGUCUCUAUGACACUGUGAUCCAUAGUUAUGUUCAAUGCAAUAUCCCUAUGUAAUUUCCCACAGUAGGAAAAACACAGUGUUUCAUGGGCGAUCCCUUACCAUUGUAUGUCUAUGGGGCAAAUUUGGGGGUCUCUAGCCCCCCAGGGGUACAACUUUUACCCCACUUGGGGGUAUGUUCUCGCACAGCCUGAUAGCCUCUCCAAAUGUGGUGAUUCACGUGUUUCUGCGAAAUUCUGUCUCUGAGCUACAAUCCGUCAAAAUUUUCCGUAAUGCAUUGUCUAUGCGUUUUUUCCGGACGAUUUUUCGCCCGCUGUACGAACAUCGUACGCCCGAUCGCUUAUAAAAGUCAUAGCACACCAUUCCCGAUUAGGCCGCACGAUUUGACGCCUCUUUUGCGGGUCUGUGACGAAAGGUGCGGGACGAGUUACGCGUCAAAGUUUUGUACGGAAGAAGAAUAAUAAGAAGAACUAGAAGGUACAUUUCCUGAAGAAAAUGUGAGUGGUGCUUGCAGUGGCAAAACUCACCCUCUGUUGCUAUAGGGUGUUGUAAUGAGGUUGCUAGGGUGGUUGCUAGGGUACCCGGGUUGGUUGCUAUGGUACAUGGGAUGGUUGCUAGGGCGGUUGCUAGGGUCCCCAUGAUGGUUGCUAGGGCCGUUGCUAUGGUACCCAGGGUGGUUGCUAGGGUAAUCGGGAUGGUUGCUAGGGUGUUGCUAUGUGGUUGCUAGGGUACCCGGGGUAGUUGCUAGGGCGGUUGCUAGGGUCCCCAUGAUGGUUGCUAGGGCCGUUGCUAGGGUACCCAGGGUGGUUGCUAGGGUAAUCGGGGUGGUUGCUAGGGUGUUGCUAUGUGGUUGCUAGGGUACCCGGGGUGGUUGCUAGGGCGGUUGCUAAGGUCCCCAUGAUGGUUGCUAGGGCCGUUGCUAAGGUACCCAGGGUGGUUGCUAGGGUAAUCGGGGUGGUUGCUAGGGUGUUGCUAUGUGGUUGCUAGGGUACCCGGUGUGGUUGCUAGGGCGGUUGCUAUGGUAACCUGGGUGGUUGCUAGGGCCGUUGCUAAGGUACCCAAGGUGGUUGCUAGGGUAAUUGGGGCGGUUGCUAGGGUGUUGCUAUGUGGUUGCUAGGGUGCCCGGGUGGUUGCUAGGGCGGUUGCUAGGGUCCCCAAGAUGGUUGCUAGGGCCGUUGCUAGGGUACUCAGGGUGGUUGCUAGGGAAAUCGGGGCGGUUGCUAGGGCGGUUGCUAGGGUCCCCAUGAUGGUUGCUAGGGCCGUUGCUAGGGUACCCAGGGUGGUUGCUAGGGUGUUGCUAUGUGGUUGCUAGGGUACCCGGGGUGGUUGCUAGGGCGGUUGCUAGGGUAACCUGGGUGGUUGCUAGGCAGUUGCUACGGUACUUGGGGUGGUUGCUAAAGUGUUGCUAGGCGGUUGCUAGGGUGUUUUGGCUGGUUGCUAGGCAGUUGCUAUGGUCUCCUGGGUGGUUGCUAUGAUGUUACUAGGUGGUUGGUAGUUGUCACAGAUGGUCACUAUGUAAUUAUUAUACAGUUCUUAGCCCAUUUGAGCACUUAGCUAAUCACUAUUAGCAUGUAGCUAAUCACUGCUAGCAUGACUAGCAUGUUGGAAGUCCAGUGUGCUAGCAUGAGUCAAAAAAUCCAACCGCCAUGUCUGUACGAUGUUCUGAUGCAGAGAUAUAGGUAGUGCAAAACGGUUGCUAGGGUACUCCAUUUGGUUGCUAUGGAGUGGCUUGUCAGCUGCCAAUGGUGAUACUCCAAAG